CCUACGGGGGGCUGCAGUGGGGAAUAUUGGACAAUGGGCGAAAGCCUGAUCCAGCCAUGCCGCGUGUGUGAAGAAGGCCUUCGGGUUGUAAAGCACUUUCAGUGGGGAAGAAAGCCUUGGGGCUAAUACCCUCGAGGAAGGACAUCACCCACAGAAGAAGCACCGGCUAACUCCGUGCCAGCAGCCGCGGUAAUAAGGAGGGUGCGAGCGUUAAUCGGAAUUACUGGGCGUAAAGCGCGCGUAGGCGGUCUGAUAAGCCGGUUGUGAAAGCCCCGGGCUCAACCUGGGAACGGCAUCCGGAACUGUCAGGCUAGAGUGCAGGAGAGGAAGGUAGAAUUCCCGGUGUAGCGGUGAAAUGCGUAGAGAUCGGGAGGAAUACCAGUGGCGAAGGCGGCCUUCUGGACUGACACUGACGCUGAGGUGCGAAAGCGUGGGUAGCAAACAGGAUUAGAUACCCUUGUAGUC
This 465-nucleotide ribosomal RNA is filed under the name Vreelandella stevensii. Its description in RNAcentral is "partial 16S ribosomal RNA". It matches the Rfam family "Bacterial small subunit ribosomal RNA", at positions 338 to 795 of the family's 1533-position model. The record is from RNAcentral. Lineage: Bacteria; Pseudomonadati; Pseudomonadota; Gammaproteobacteria; Oceanospirillales; Halomonadaceae.